Molecule: RNA transcript, 4569 nt
Organism: Salmo salar (Atlantic salmon)
Lineage: Eukaryota; Metazoa; Chordata; Actinopteri; Salmoniformes; Salmonidae
Gene name: glucocorticoid receptor
Source: RefSeq, a predicted model, not a curated record
UCGCCCCAUGUACAUUUUAUACGGACUGUGUUGCGCCAUUGAAAUGAUUCAUGUUAGUCACAGUUUGCCGUGCUUUUGAAGUUUACACAAUUGUGCCGAACUUAACUGUCUCUAUAUAACGUUGUUAGUUUGUGUUUAGAAUAGCAAGCUUCACAUACUGCAGCGUCACCUGGAGCGCGCCGUCUACCAAGUUUCUUUGCGUUGAAGUUGAGUGGCACGCGCUCCGUUUGGCUAUAGCUAGCUAGGACUAUUUUCGUACUCAUUGGCUAGCAAUGUGUUGUCAUUCGUAAGUAACAUCAUAUCUUAACUCAAUCAUGCCUUAUAAUAACUAGUCAUUAUUGACAAACGUUAACAAAGUCAACGCUUUGAAAGGUAGUAGCUAGCUACCAUUGGUUAUAGCUAGCGAAAUUAGCUAACGUUGCAUGGAAGAGUUUGGCGUAACUUGAUAGAGGCAACGUUACAAGUAAUCGAAUACACUUUAAACGUGUUUUUCUAUUUGCAAGUUAGCUUGUUUACUUGAUACGUUAUUUCUACAUUGGCUUGAGCGGCCAGCCGACGUGUGCAGCCGUGUUUUUGACAGCUUUUUAGAGUAUAACGGUAGUCCUGUCUGUCUUUAGAGGGGCGUUUACCGUGAAGUGUCAAACUAGCCGCCCUCGUUUUGCUAAUGUGCAGCACCAGCUAAUGUUUUAAUCUGUAACUACUGUAACGUUAACGGUAGCUCGCCAGCUAGCUUGGAUAUUAUGUAAUGUCAAUGAUUAUUCUACUGUACUGCAUCAUAGAAUGCCGGUUAUGUCAAUUCUGCUGUCCAUUUAGAAUUUAUAGCUAACGAAUUCAUGUUCGUUUUUGCUUACUGCCUGAGUUCAGUAGAUAGCUAUUUUUUGCUAGCAAACUCGACUGCAUCCUGUUUUUUAACGUUUGACAGCCCCAGAUAUAAACUGUAGCUAACUACGUCACGUGAGCAAGGGAAUAACAGCGCACGAGCUAGCUAGCUACAUCAAUACUUUUUCAACGGGGAAUGCAGCAAGCCAUUCAGCGUUGCACGAGGAAUAUUUCUUGUGAAGACGGACUAGAAGCCAUAGAGCUCAGAAUUCCAGCAAAUUCGAACUGAAUGGAUAUGAUCUAGUUUGGAAAACUCCCAUUUCUGAUUAAGGAUCAAGAAAUGGAUAACCAGGACAAGAGCUUAGAGAGAGGUGAAGAGGGAAGCUUCUCGGUUAACGCAGGCAGUUCCAAGUCCACCACAUUAACUUCCGUGAUGCAUUUGCCUGGCUCCACACCCCAGCCUCCAGCCAGCGACUCCUCUAACGGACUGAAUGUCACUAAGAUUCAGGGUGAGCUCUCCACAGCAGGGACAGCCUCCAUUGGACUCCCUAUAGAGGAGGCUGAAGUAAAGUUAAUGGACAAGGCCCUGAGAAUGCAGAACGCACAGAAACAGCAGCAGAAUCAUCAGCAGCUGUUUGAGAACUUUGCUCUGUUGGAGGAGAGCAUUUCAGAUUUGAAUCGAUCCAACACCCCAGGGAGCUCCGUACUUGCAUGUUCUAAUUACCUUUUCCCUCUGAAAACGGAAGACUUUUCACCAAUGGAUAAGGACAGGCUUGACAUGGGGACAGUCAGCUUUGGACAGUCACUGAAGGACUUGGAUGUCAACGAGAGGCUCCUUGGUGACAAUACACUGGACAUUCUGCGGGAUUUGGACUUGCCUGGCUCUCUGUCUGACCUGAAUGAGUUUUACCUGGCUGACGAGGCCGCUUUCCUUUCCUCCCUGUCAGUGGAUGAUGCCCUGCUCGGUGACGGCAACAUGGAAACCAAGCCCAUAGUCAGUAGCAGUGGGGGAAACUGUAAAAAUGUGAAUGGCGCAGAUCAGCAGCAACUGGGCCCAGGGAUCUCCAUGCCUGUCAUCAAGACAGAGAAGGAUGCUGACACCUCCUUCAUCCAGCUUUACACCCCAGGGGUAAUCAAGCAGGAGAACGAGCGCCAGAGCUACUGUCAGAUAUCCAGCCUGGACAUACCUGGUACCCACAGCUCGGUGGGCUCCAUGAGUGGGCCGAGUUACCACUACGGCGCAAACACAUCGACGGCAGUCAGCGUACAACAGGAUCAGAAGCCUGUCUUUGGCCUGUAUCCGCCGCUGCCCUCAGUCAGUGACAGCUGGAACAGAGGCCAGGAAUUUGGGGAUGGAUCAGGGAUGUCAACUCCAUCCAGCUCAUCUUUUCCUGUCAGCUUCAGCAGUCCAACGGCCAGACCCGAGGCCAGCAGCUCCACAUCUUCAGCCCCUGCCAAGCACAGCGGUCCAACCCAUAAGAUCUGCCUGGUGUGUUCUGACGAGGCCUCUGGCUGCCACUAUGGAGUCCUCACCUGCGGAAGCUGCAAGGUCUUCUUCAAGAGGGCCGUUGAAGGAUGGAGAGCACGACAAAACACAGAUGGACAACACAACUAUCUGUGUGCCGGGAGGAAUGACUGCAUCAUAGACAGGAUCCGCAGGAAGAACUGUCCGGCGUGCCGCUUCCGCAAGUGUCUCCAAGCAGGGAUGAACCUGGAAGCAAGGAAAAACAAGAAGCUGAUCCGAUUUAAAGGUCAGCAGGCCACGACAGAGCCGAACAGUCCCGCACCUGACGAAAGGGCCUGCACCUUGAUCCCAAAGUCCAUGCCCCAGCUGGUGCCCACCAUGCUGUCCCUGCUUAAAGCCAUCGAGCCAGAGGCCAUUUACUCUGGCUACGACAGCACCAUCCCCGACACCUCCACCCGCCUUAUGACCACCCUCAACAGGUUGGGCGGACAGCAGGUUGUUUCAGCCGUCAAGUGGGCCAAGUCCCUACCAGGGUUCCGGAACCUUCACCUGGAUGAUCAGAUGACUCUGCUGCAGUGCUCCUGGCUGUUCCUCAUGUCAUUCGGCCUGGGCUGGCGCUCCUACCAGCAGUGUAACGGGGGCAUGCUGUGCUUCGCCCCUGACCUGGUUAUUAAUGACGAGAGGAUGAAGCUGCCCUAUAUGACUGACCAGUGUGAGCAGAUGCUGAAGAUCUCCACUGAGUUUGUGAGGUUGCAGGUGUCCUACGACGAGUACCUGUGUAUGAAAGUCCUGCUGCUGCUCAGCACAGGUGGACCUCCAGGGCAACGGAAAGCUACGUGACUGUGACUGCUCACUACACCACAGAGGAGAGGGAGAUGCGAAGUCCGGUGCUACAGACACGCCCCCUCCCUAUGAGAGUCACACAGGCACAAAUCUGGAGCAGGUACUGCUAGGAGCAGAGUGGAAGCUAGAGAGGCCCAAUAGCAAUAUACCAACCACCACAGAUAAUACCAAGUAAGUGCAGUGAUAGAAGCUGGCUUGGUGCCACAGGUAGCUUGCUUUGCACAUGUGAUCAAUUUAGCAUCCCAAAGGGGAAUCUCAGUGAACCAGAUGGACCGCCUCUUUGGGAGGAUCAGGAAGGUGGUUUCUUCUUCCACCGAAGCACAACAGCUGCUCAUGUGCUUAAGACCAAGCAAGAAAUCCUACAGCUACCGACCCACAAGCUCAUACACCAUGUCGCAACAAGAUGGAACUCCACUUAUGACAUGUUGGAGCGCUAUCUUGAGCAGCAGGCAGCUGUAUACUCUGCCCUGACAGACAAGACCCUGAAAAAAAAGGAAGAUAUCGUCACCUUGUCUGAUGAUGACGUGAAAGUGGCAGAGGAGGUCCUCCAAGUGCUCAAACCCCUCAAAACGGUUACAACCCUACUGAGCACUGAAACUGCACCGUCUGUCCAUGAUCCUACCUCUGAAAACAAGGAUUCUACAAUCCAUGGCCCCAAGUGAGGAAGACGGCACCAUCACUAGAGAUGUCAAGGCUGCCGUUUGAGAGGACCUGAACCCCAGAUACCCCCCUUAAUGUACAGGACUACCUUCAUAGAUGUACUGCACUGGAUCCAAGGUUCAAGUCUCUGUCUCACCUAGACCCUGCCCUACGCCGGAGGACAUACAGUGAUCUCAACAAUGAGAUUGUGGCCACUGAAGAGGGUCAAGCCACAGAGCCGGGUCAAGCCACAGAGCCGGGUCAAGCCACAGAGCAGGGUCAAGCCACAGAGCAGACUCAGAGGAAUCUCCUUCAAAAUAAUUUGGCCAUGAAGGAGCUUUUCGGGGAGACCUUUGCGAGCAAGGACACAGGCAAGACAUUUGCCAACACCAUCAAAGAGGUGGCAUCCUACAAGGCAGCAAGCAAUGAGUGUAAAUACCCUCACAUUGCCAUGAUGGCAAGAUGCUACCUGGCUGUGCCUGGCACUUCAGUUCCCAGUGAGAGGGUGUUUUCCACGGCAGGGGACAUAGUGACUGUAAAGAGGUCUACCCUCUCCCCAGACAAUGUAGACAUCCUUAUCUUUUUGAAAAAGAAUUUGAAGUUAUAAGCUCAGGUUUUUUUAUGAUGUGGACACAGGCUAUUUUUUCAUUCACUAUUGUUCAAAGGAAGAAGGUAUCAUGCCUCAUAUUGCACUUUAAUUUAACAAUUGCGUAUUGAAUAUUUUAUUCUAAUAUUUUAUUUAAACAUUGAAAAGUUCCUUGCUUUAAGUGUUAUUUUAGUAAUAAAUGGAAAGCAAAGUUAUA